This 150-nucleotide non-coding RNA is filed under the name Tritonibacter horizontis. RNAcentral's name for it is "Rhodobacteraceae bacterium O3.65 Ruegeria cis2 sRNA". It matches the Rfam family "Ruegeria cis2 sRNA". From Rfam's summary of the family: Cis-encoded. Targets ABC transporter. Lineage: Bacteria; Pseudomonadati; Pseudomonadota; Alphaproteobacteria; Rhodobacterales; Paracoccaceae. The record is from Rfam by way of RNAcentral.
AGUGACCUUGGGGUUGUAAUUGAUGAAAAUAUGGCCCCGCGCCUGAUCAAUGGUGUGAAACAAGGGGUUCCAGAUGAACAUUGGCAGCAUGUAGCCGGGCAGGGAAUUCGCGAGUACCAUCUUGCCGGAGAACAACAUGUUCGACCGCUG